ACGUACCAUAUCAGAACCGGUGCCGGCUGGUCCAGGAGCAGAAGCGCCCAAGCUAGGGGAAGGAGCUCCGGUGGGAGGAGCGGGCGGGCUUGAUCCCAGAGGCGAAGGAGCGGAAGCCGGAGACUUCACCUUCUUGGACGGAGCCGGAGCUGGGACCGAAGCAGGUGGAGAUGCCAGGGGAGCUGGUGGCGGGGUUGCCGGAGGAGGAGUGGCUGGCGGUGGGGUUGCCGGAGGAGGAGUUGCAGGUGGUGGAGUGGCGACCGGAGGUGGAGUUGAUGGUGGAGGGGAAGCAGGUGGGGGAGUAGCAGCAACCGGCGGAGGUGUGCUGACUGGAGGAGGAGUUGAUGGAGGUGGGGCGGAGACUGGAGGAGGAGAGGCCGCCGGAGGAGGGGAGGAAGUCGGGGGAGGAGUGGUGCUCACCGGAGGAGCGGCGGUCGGGGUGGUGGGAGUGGGUGGAGCCGGGGUGGCGGUAGGAGAAGCAGCCGGAGAUUGAGCGCCGACGCCGGCGAUGACAAUGCAGAUGAGAGAGAGGACGACCAAAGCUGAUGGACUCUUCAUCUUGCGCCGAUCUAGUUUCCUCUCUCUUCUUUCUUUUCUUCUCGUAAAACUACAAACAGAGAAAGAUAGAGAGAGAGAGAGAGAGAGAGAGAGGAGUGAGGGGGGAAAGAGAGUGAGAAAUCAAACGGGAAUAAAUAGUGGUGGAUAAAUUAAGAA
Molecule: long non-coding RNA, 714 nt
Filed under: Linum usitatissimum (flax)
Lineage: Eukaryota; Viridiplantae; Streptophyta; Magnoliopsida; Malpighiales; Linaceae
Description: long non-coding RNA (LUSI_LNC007216)
Source: RNAcentral